Molecule: ribosomal RNA, 400 nt
Filed under: uncultured bacterium
Lineage: Bacteria
Description: bacterial SSU rRNA
Rfam family: Bacterial small subunit ribosomal RNA
Source: RNAcentral
UAUUGGUCAAUGGACGCAAGUCUGAACCAGCUAUGCCGCGUGAAGGAUUAAGGUCCUCUGGAUUGUAAACUUCUCUCCCCCUCGGACGAAAAAAGGUCUUUCUAGAUCACUUGACGGUACCAGAUGAAUAAGCACCGGCUAACUCCGUGCCAGCAGCCGCGGUAAUACGGAGGGUGCAAGCGUUAUCCGGAUUCACUGGGUUUAAAGGGUGCGUAGGCGGGCAGGUAAGUCAGUGGUGAAAUCCUGGAGCUCAACUCCAGAACUGCCAUUGAUACUAUCUGUCUUGAAUAUUGUGGAGGUAAGCGGAAUAUGUCAUGUAGCGGUGAAAUGCUUAGAUAUGACAUAGAACACCCAUUGCGAAGGGAGCUUACUACGCAUAUAUUGACGCUGAGGCACGAAA